GGAUGUGAGGGCGGUCUGGCUGCGACAUCUGUCACCCCAUUGCUCGCCAGGGUUGUUGCAGCUCAUCUGUCCGGCUAGGCUGUUAUCUUCCUCUCCCCUCGCCACGCCAUGCAUGUCCCUCUAGAAGCCACUCGCCGAAUAGAGGAGACCUGGUCUUUGGUCAAGGGUAGUGGAUAGCUACACUCCCCUCCUAAAACUUCCAAACAAACUCUCAAGUCCAACAUAUGCAAUGAAAACCUGGACCUU
This 246-nucleotide small nuclear RNA is filed under the name Mus pahari (shrew mouse). RNAcentral describes it as "sRNA (MGP_PahariEiJ_G0008176.1)". It matches the Rfam family "7SK RNA", at positions 1 to 282 of the family's 331-position model. Rfam says of the family: 7SK was discovered as an abundant small nuclear RNA in the mid-70s but a possible function has only recently been suggested. Two independent studies have found that 7SK RNA binds the CDK9/cyclin T complex (known as elongation factor P-TEFb). P-TEFb activates transcription by phosphorylating the C-terminal domain of RNA polymerase II. The record is from RNAcentral. Lineage: Eukaryota; Metazoa; Chordata; Mammalia; Rodentia; Muridae.